AAAUUGAAGAGUUUGAUCAUGGCUCAGAUUGAACGCUGGCGGCAGGCCUAACACAUGCAAGUCGAACGGUAACAGGAAGCAGCUUGCUGCUUUGCUGACGAGUGGCGGACGGGUGAGUAAUGUCUGGGAAACUGCCUGAUGGAGGGGGAUAACUACUGGAAACGGUGGCUAAUACCGCAUAACGUCGCAAGACCAAAGAGGGGGACCUUCGGGCCUCUUGCCAUCAGAUGUGCCCAGAUGGGAUUAGCUUGUUGGUGAGGUAACGGCUCACCAAGGCGACGAUCCCUAGCUGGUCUGAGAGGAUGACCAGCCACACUGGAACUGAGACACGGUCCAGACUCCUACGGGAGGCAGCAGUGGGGAAUAUUGCACAAUGGGCGCAAGCCUGAUGCAGCCAUGCCGCGUGUAUGAAGAAGGCCUUCGGGUUGUAAAGUACUUUCAGCGGGGAGGAAGGUGUUGUGGUUAAUAACCGCAGCAAUUGACGUUACCCGCAGAAGAAGCACCGGCUAACUCCGUGCCAGCAGCCGCGGUAAUACGGAGGGUGCAAGCGUUAAUCGGAAUUACUGGGCGUAAAGCGCACGCAGGCGGUCUGUCAAGUCGGAUGUGAAAUCCCCGGGCUCAACCUGGGAACUGCAUUCGAAACUGGCAGGCUUGAGUCUUGUAGAGGGGGGUAGAAUUCCAGGUGUAGCGGUGAAAUGCGUAGAGAUCUGGAGGAAUACCGGUGGCGAAGGCGGCCCCCUGGACAAAGACUGACGCUCAGGUGCGAAAGCGUGGGGAGCAAACAGGAUUAGAUACCCUGGUAGUCCACGCCGUAAACGAUGUCUACUUGGAGGUUGUGCCCUUGAGGCGUGGCUUCCGGAGCUAACGCGUUAAGUAGACCGCCUGGGGAGUACGGCCGCAAGGUUAAAACUCAAAUGAAUUGACGGGGGCCCGCACAAGCGGUGGAGCAUGUGGUUUAAUUCGAUGCAACGCGAAGAACCUUACCUGGUCUUGACAUCCACAGAACUUUCCAGAGAUGGAUUGGUGCCUUCGGGAACUGUGAGACAGGUGCUGCAUGGCUGUCGUCAGCUCGUGUUGUGAAAUGUUGGGUUAAGUCCCGCAACGAGCGCAACCCUUAUCCUUUGUUGCCAGCGGUCCGGCCGGGAACUCAAAGGAGACUGCCAGUGAUAAACUGGAGGAAGGUGGGGAUGACGUCAAGUCAUCAUGGCCCUUACGACCAGGGCUACACACGUGCUACAAUGGCGCAUACAAAGAGAAGCGACCUCGCGAGAGCAAGCGGACCUCAUAAAGUGCGUCGUAGUCCGGAUUGGAGUCUGCAACUCGACUCCAUGAAGUCGGAAUCGCUAGUAAUCGUGGAUCAGAAUGCCACGGUGAAUACGUUCCCGGGCCUUGUACACACCGCCCGUCACACCAUGGGAGUGGGUUGCAAAAGAAGUAGGUAGCUUAACCUUCGGGAGGGCGCUUACCACUUUGUGAUUC
RNAcentral lists this ribosomal RNA (1479 nucleotides) under Salmonella enterica. RNAcentral describes it as "bacterial SSU rRNA". It matches the Rfam family "Bacterial small subunit ribosomal RNA". Lineage: Bacteria; Pseudomonadati; Pseudomonadota; Gammaproteobacteria; Enterobacterales; Enterobacteriaceae. The record is from RNAcentral.